Molecule: RNase MRP RNA, 245 nt
Filed under: Oikopleura dioica
Lineage: Eukaryota; Metazoa; Chordata; Appendicularia; Copelata; Oikopleuridae
Description: RNase MRP
Rfam family: RNase MRP
About the family: RNase MRP is an enzymatically active ribonucleoprotein with two distinct roles in eukaryotes. In mitochondria it plays a direct role in the initiation of mitochondrial DNA replication.
Source: Rfam by way of RNAcentral
ACAAGGUCGGAAGGUUCGCUGUCCGGGGUCACUUCGGUGGCUUCGGGGGAAAGUCCCCAGUCCUGUGGCGGAGAGCGCCAGUCCCAUUUCAUGGGGCGAACGCUGCGUUGAGCCGAGCAAAAUCAGCGGUGACAGUCAUCAGACUGUAGCUGACGGUGAGGUAGCGUACUCGACACGAGCGAAAGUUAUGCGAACAGCCCGUAAAUGGUACGGGUGAACUCAAUGGGGCUUACUCUUCGACCCUG